GCGCGCCCUUUAUGACAGGUGGCCGCGCAGUGGGCGCUCCCGGGCGCCUGAGGAGCGGGGAGGAAGGGACAGAGUGGGAGGGGGCACCUGGGGAAGGGACCUUAGGCGCGGCAGCGGCUGUGAGACCUGAGGGAGCCGGGGAGACAGGCGCAUCCACCUGGCGGGCCCAGCGCACACAGCCGAGGCACAGAAGACAGCGUCGGCGGCAGCAGUAGCACAGCAGCAGCGGCAGCUAGAACAGCUGCGACGACAGCGGCAGCCCAUCCUCGACUGCGGNNNNNNNNNNNNNNNNNNNNNNNNNNNNNNNNNNNNNNNNNNNNNNNNNNNNNNNNNNNNNNNNNNNNNNNNNNNNNNNNNNNNNNNNNNNNNNNNNNNNNNNNNNNNNNNNNNNNNNNNNNNNNNNNNNNNNNNNNNNGUAUACGCGUUGCCACCCAGCUCCCGGGCCUUCUCGCCCGCUCCCCUCCUGGCUGGGGUGGCGGCGGCAAAGGGUGAAACGAAUUAGGGGAAGGUGAGAGGGGCGGAGGAAGGGAAAGCGGAAGGGAGGACGUCUGUGUACGAAUGGCGUGCAUGUGUGUGUCCGUGUACGAAGGAUCGAGGCCUUCAGGGUGAGGGAUUCCAGCUCGCCAAGACCAGCCCUGCAAUCUAGGAAAGGCCUCUGUGCUAGAGCGGGAGGAGGGGGAGGGGAAGCGAGCGGGCCGGAGCCCAGGCGCUCGGAAGCAGCACGGCCGGGCAACUGGAGCCAGCCGGGCGCUGCCUCCUUUUGGGUUGUUGCCCAGGAGAUCCUCAUCCAUCAGGGAGUCCGGCACUGCGCUUCAGUGAGAGUGGGAAAACCCACACGGCGGCCUCGGCGGGCGCCUGGGCCGGAGCAGUAAAGGUGCGAAGCCGCGUUACCAGCGCCUCCCUCGCCCGCGGCUCCCCUGCUCUCCGGGGGCCUAGACCACCGCAGAGUGUCCCUAAGGCGCGCACCGACGAGUGUAAGUUUAGUCCCUGACCAAACCUUGCCACGCUCAUCACCUUUGCGGAAAUUGGCUCACUGCCCUGACUGCUGUGGAAAGCGGUCAAACUGACGCUUUGCUGCGAGGCUUCUGACGCUUCUCGCUGCGGCGCCUCUAGGUACCAGUCCUUUGGGUCUUAUACAUCGUGUGGGUCAGGGGAGGCUGGCAAGCGUGGGGGGUACGGCUGCUCCGGGAAAGUGGGGAAACCCCAAAGCUGAGUUGGCGCCCUUCAGCAGAGGAAUCCAGCGGUUUCAGCCUGACUGCUUCUGUCUGUGUGAUUCGUGAGGGACCGAAUCACCCGCGCAAGGUUUUCUGUCUUCCCGAAGUUAAAAAAAAAAUUGUCUCCCCAUUUCUCCGCCAGCACUCUUGAUUUUUGUCGAGUUUCUGGCUGCAUUUUGGAAUAAGUGGGUUUCAUAUUUUCCGUCUGUGUGUGUUUUUUUUUCCGCAGCAUAUUGUUGAAUUUUGUGCACGGCGCACUUUGCUAUGUAACAUUUUCCUAACGUUCUAUUUUCUAGAUGGUUAUCUAAAAGACAUGAUUUGGCGGGAGGGGGGCUGGAAGAGCUGCUUUACAAAAGCAUCUGAAGGACUUUAGCCCUGGAAUUUGAAAGUCUCAGUUGUUUUAGGUGGAGGAACCUUGUGCUGCUAGUCCGUAGAAUAUUUUGCUUGCUGAGAAAGGGUAUUCCAGUGGUCUUCUCUGAACUACUAGAGACCAUUUGGAUUUGGGGGAGUGAAUCUCUUUUACAUUUUUUACACAUAGGGUAACAAAUGACCAGACGUUUUAUUUACAGCAGUGACGUUCUUCUGGCUGAGGAGAAUUUACACUUAUUGAAAAUAUAUUUUCAGAAGGAAACAAAAAACCCUAAGUAACUGUCAUUUUACAUAUUAACUGGGAAACUGGUUAAUCAAACAAAACUGGCUGAGUGUCUGAAACUGUAUCCCAGUGAAAUAUGUGGCUGUGAAUAUAAUUAACCAUCUGUCUAGUGAGCAAUUUAAAUUUGGGCUGGUACAUUUUUAUUACAGUGUCUAAUUUCUGGAAGACUUGUACAUUUUACACAGCAGUAACAACAGAAACGUAUUUGCUUCUAGGUCAACAAUUCACUUGUGGUGCGAUUUCCUUCCCACCCACACCUUUAUAUUUUUCAUAGCGCCUGCAUUCCUUGACCUCGAGGUCAAAAUGAGCCUCUUGUUUUUGCACAUGACACAUUUAGAAAGAACCCAAACCAUCCCUGGCAGCUAGUGAUUGGAUUUUUGUUUCUUAGAAAUACUUCCUAAUUAUUUUACUUCCCACAAAACCUAGAUAGAUUGCAUGUCGUUGAGUUGAAAAGAUAUAAUCUUUGGUUGCUUGAGUGUUUAGAUAGGGUAGAAUAAUUUAACAAAAUUUAUAAGACUCAAAAGUUGAUUCCAUUUACUUUCUUAUUCUAGUUAUUUUGCUAGCUUUGCCCUAGCUGUUCUAACUGUCCCAGACUCUGCAGAGAUAUACACUCAAAAAAAUCAUAUCCUUUUGUUCUUUUAGUCUGUUAACAGCAUUCAGUUCUGUGAUUUUAACAAUAUGUCAUGAAACUUUUUUAAAAAAUCAGAGAUGCAAAAUAUCAUAGCAGAAAAAGACAUUGUGGAUAUUUAAAAAUGUUCUAUGUGGUAUAAUUUUUAACUUGAAAGCUAUUACUAGCUUGGUCGAUACAGUUUGGGGAGAAGACUUCCACCAAAUAGCUAUUGUUAACAUAGUUAAAAUGAACCAAGAUUUAUGUGCAGUAGGCUUGAGAAAAUAAUUUAAAAGAAAAUACUCUUAAAACAAAUAUUUGCCUAAAUUACAGCUCUGAUAAAUGGGUAACAAUUAUGUAAACACAUGGAAGAAUUUGACAUUUGUUAAUUCUGUUAAAUAAAUUAAUCUGUUCAGUGGUAAAAAUCUUGAAUUUAGCAGUGCUUUUUAGCACGCGCUCUCUCUCACACACACACACACAUCAGUAACACCCUGUUGCCAAAGUCAAACAAGUGCAGAACCUUUCGGCUUUCUGUUUCCCUCAGAGUCUCUCUUUCUUUUUCUUUUUUCUACAAUCUUCUGAUUACCUGUAAGCUACUCAGAGAAAACAGACCUAACGCGGUGCUGUUAUUGCCUGUGAUUAAAGGGUAGGAGAAGAGAGAUGAGGAAAAUUGGUAAGUGCUGUAUUUAAAAUAUCUAAAAAUGUGCUCAUGGAUCCCUGACGCAAGUCACUGUGGAGAUCUUGGUCUCACCGAAG
Molecule: long non-coding RNA, 3229 nt
Organism: Fukomys damarensis (Damara mole-rat)
Lineage: Eukaryota; Metazoa; Chordata; Mammalia; Rodentia; Bathyergidae
Source: Ensembl